Long non-coding RNA from Lytechinus pictus (painted urchin), 1973 nucleotides. RefSeq lists it as uncharacterized. Lineage: Eukaryota; Metazoa; Echinodermata; Echinoidea; Temnopleuroida; Toxopneustidae. The transcript is spliced from 4 exons. The record is from RefSeq and is a predicted model, not a curated record.
ACCUUAUAAUAUAUUACUAGACCGAAAGCUGCGUGCGCGUUCAGCACAAAACAAAUGAGAUUAGGCUCCGCCUACCGCGAUCAUUUGAAGACAAAAAUAAGCCCUCAUUGACAUUCAUGAGCAUGAAGAUAUUCAUAAUCCGGCCUUUUCAUUGGCUAAGAGCGUCAUUAAUACGCGAUUUCCCCGAUUCUUUGUCAUCGAUACUAGUGGUAUCGUGUUACAGAAUUAAUUAUUCAUUUGACCUCAUUACGUCAUCUAAUUUAUUCAUUCUGAAACUUUUCUUUCCACACAAAAAUGGACCUACGAACACUCCGGUGAGUUGAGUUUGAAGAACAAGAAAAACAGUAGAGGUCUACCCGGUACCUAUGGUUAAACAUGAUGAUCAUAAGUGCAUGCAUCAUUUUGCAGAUUCUCAUCCAGGAUGAUGCAGCUCUACAAUUUCCAUGGAGGUGAUUGAUGAUGUUAAACAAUUGGUGAAGUAGGCCUAAUAGAACAGUGAUAGGACCACAAAGAGAAAUACAACCUACAGCAGUUAUAUGAGACUGGUGUAACAGAUGUUUUCAUUCAAGAAAUCCAACAAAUUGAAGAGUGACUUAGCUUAGGAAGCACUUGAUAAAGAUGGAAAAGUUUUUUUUUUCAAGUCCAAUUUUUUUUUUUUUUUAAUUAUAAUCACAACCCCAAAUUCAUGAAGUAUGAAAUUUCCUGUUGAUUUUCAUUGAAACUGGUUGCAAAAGGAGAAGCUAUAAACAUACAAAUAGGAGCGGCGAAGUGAAGUUGAAAGUGGGGGGGCAUGCACAGGGAAAAUGCUGUAUUAUGUGAAAUUUUUAAGAAGUUGCAAGAGAGCAAAAUUUUGACAUUUUUAAAAAGAAAAUCCAAUUUUGUGAUAGAUUUCAACAAAAUAUUCAAAAUGAUAUAUUUCACCCUUUUUUUUGGGGGGGGGCAAGAGUCCUUCAAGCCCCCCCCCCCCCUUCAUCUGUAGUGUACGAAACUGCUUAUCUACCCCCACUCACAUGAAUUAUUAAACUUCAUGCACAAAGGAUUUCCUUAUUGUUUUCUUGUUUCAAAGGGCACUCGUCAUGGUGACCAUAAAACGGGUCCUUCUCAGGUGAAAGGGGCACAGAACAAGUUCUUUAGGAGCACUUUUCUUGGGUAAAAGGGGGCAGUUAUUCGAGAAAGGGCACUUACAAGAAGGCGAGGGGGCACUUUUUAACACAUAAAACGGGCCCUCAGAUGAAAUGGCACAGAACACGUUCGGGGGGGGGGGCAUUUUUUGGUAAAAAUUUGCAUACAAGGAAGAGCACUUGGUAACACCUAAAACAGGUUCUCGUCAGGUGAAAGGGACACAGUACACGUUUGUGAGGGGGCAUUUUUGUUACAUAAAAUUAAAGGCACUUUUCAGUGCUUCAAAAAGUAGGGGGAACUGUGCCCCCCAGGAUCGCUGCCCCUGCAUACAAAAAACAUUUUCGUUCGAUUCAAUGUAUUAACAUACGCUUAAGAAAAAAAGUAAGGCUAAAUCCUCUGAUAAUGUGAUAUUUUUUUCUGGCUAUUAAUAAAAUUCACAACUAACCAGAAAAUGCCUUCAUGUCUUUUAUUUGUAUUCAUAUAGUAUUUGAACAGAGCUAAAAUGAAAGGGAUUUGGAAUUGGCAAAAUGAGAUGGAGAUCGAGAGAGAGAAAGAGUGAUGAGAAGGGGAUUGAAAAGAGAUGAGAAAGAAAUGGAGGGGCACGUAUGAAGAGAUAAUUUAGAGGGGGGGGGGUAGAGAGCACGAAUGGUGGGAAGUAGGAACAAAGGGGUUGAAGAGAAGACGAGAUUUAUGGAAACCAGGAGACAGAUAACAAGUGGGAAAAGAAGAAGGAAAUAUAUGUAGGAGAAAGGCGGCACCAAAAGAACGUGAGUGGGAAAAUUAUUAAAUGGAAAAAACAGAGCAAGAAAUGCUGGAGAAUAAAGGGGACAGGAAACGUAUCAAACAUGAUA